AUUGAACGCUGGCGGCAGGCCUAACACAUGCAAGUCGAACGGCAGCACGGUGGUUGCUCCCUGGUGCAGCGGGGGACGGGGGAGUGAUGUCUAUGAACAUGUGUGGUAGCGUGGGAGAACGUCCGGACACAGGCGCACUUACCCCACACGCGCUGAGGGGGUAAGGGGGGGAGCAUCGGACCUCCCGCCCUCACGGGAGCCAAGGUCGGAUUAGCUAGUUGGUGGGGUAAAGGCCUACCAAGGCGACGAUCCGUAGCUGGUCUGAGAGGAUGAGCAGACACACUGGAACUGAGACACGGUCCAGACUCCUACGGGAGGCAGCAGUGGGGAAUAUUGGACAAAGGGCGAAAGCCUGAUCCAGCCAUGCCGCGUGUGUGAAGAAGGCCUUCGGGUUGUAAAGCACUUUUGUUUGGAAAGAAAGGCAGUAAGUUAAUACCUUGCUGUUAUGACGGUACCAAAAGAAUAAGCACCGGCUAACUUCGUG
RNAcentral lists this ribosomal RNA (484 nucleotides) under uncultured bacterium. RNAcentral describes it as "partial 16S ribosomal RNA". It matches the Rfam family "Bacterial small subunit ribosomal RNA", at positions 29 to 507 of the family's 1533-position model. The record is from RNAcentral.